RNAcentral lists this transfer RNA (83 nucleotides) under Candidatus Woesearchaeota archaeon. RNAcentral's name for it is "tRNA-Ser". It matches the Rfam family "tRNA". Rfam says of the family: Transfer RNA (tRNA) molecules are approximately 80 nucleotides in length. Their secondary structure includes four short double-helical elements and three loops (D, anti-codon, and T loops). The record is from RNAcentral. Lineage: Archaea; Nanobdellati; Candidatus Woesearchaeota. RNAcentral also lists the same sequence under 1 other name.
GCCGGGUUGGCGGAACGGCUAACGCGCACGGCUCGAGACCGUGUUCCCGCAAGGGAGUCCAGGUUCGAAUCCUGGGCCCGGCG